UGUGUCAAAACGUUGUGGCACCAUCGUGGCAAACUCUUGCCUCUUCCGUCACCCCAUUUCAGCUUAAUCCCGAGUCAGAAGCUCCAAUCCGUUUAGCAAAUUGAAUAAUCUCAGCGUCGUUGAAGCGUACGUCUGCUGCCCACUACGACAAAGGAUUUCUGCCCGUGUGACAUAGGCGAGGUGAGGCGUUGCCUUCCUACAAGUUUCAUCCGCAGUUCAUCGGUUUGGCCGCGGGCCGGCCAAAAAAUCGAGCGCUCCUGCUCUGCUGCUGAGGAGCGAAGAGCCGAAGACCACACACGCCUUCCCACGCUCCGCACCUACCGCGAGGGCCGCCCCCAAUCCCCAUCCGCCGGCACGAUGUGCACCCUGGAGCAGCGCGGCCGCGUAUUCGUCCUCACCCUCACCGGCGACGGCGAGCACCGGCUGGGCCACGCCCUCAUCUCCUCGCUCCGCUCCGCCGUCGCCUCCGCCGCGGAGGGCGCGGCCAAGGCGGGGCCCGGGUGCGCGCUCGUGACCGUCGGCGAGGGCCGCUUCUUCUCCAACGGCCUCGACAUCGGGUGGGCGGGCACUUCCCGCGCGCGCCUCGGCGAGCUCGUCGCCGCGCUCCGCCUGCUCGCCGCCGACCUCCUCGCGCUGCCCAUGCCCACCGUCGCCGCCGUCACGGGCCACGCCUCCGCGGGCGGGUGCCUCCUCGCGCUCUGCCACGACUACCGCAUCAUGCGCGGCGACCGCGGGGUGCUCUACAUGAGCGAGGUCGACAUCGGCCUCCCGCUCCCGCCCUACUUCGUGGCCGUGCUCCGCGCCAAGAUCACCUCCGCCAACGCGCUCCGUGACGUCGCGCUGAGGGGCAAGAAGGUCAGGGCCGCCGAGGGCAAGGAGAUGGGCAUCGUGGAUGCCGUCUACCCUUCUGCGGACGAGACGGCGGCCGAGGCCUUCAAGUUUGCCGAGCAGCUCGCGGCCAGGAAGUGGGAUGGGGGCGUCUACGCGUCCAUAAGGAUGUCCAUGUACCCUGAGGCCUGCAGGUCUGUUGGAAUUGUCGAGGAGAGCGAUGAGGAGAAGCGGAAGCACUUCGCUUCCAAGCUCUGAUGUCGUGAUUCGAGAGAGGUCAGUCUUCUCUUCGCGCAGAUGCUGUCUCCUUGGAGUGCCUCUCUUGCUGGGUUUCUGUGGAAGCAUGGAGGAACCUUCACAUUCUGUAUUUCUACGUCGUCCAACCAUUGACGCUGUCGCUAUGUAUGAAGUACGCACCGUGUACUUGUACAAACCUUGUAACUUGCCUGGUAGUGGGAAAUAAAUUGAAGCUCCUCUCCCCACCUUGCUUGAAGAAUUUCAAUGUGCCUGCUAGACUCUAUAAUUAUUCCAAUAAUAUUAUUGAUGUGUGUUCAUA
RNA transcript from Sorghum bicolor (sorghum), 1384 nucleotides. It is a transcript of the gene named enoyl-CoA delta isomerase 2, peroxisomal, with no coding region annotated. Lineage: Eukaryota; Viridiplantae; Streptophyta; Magnoliopsida; Poales; Poaceae. The record is from RefSeq and is a predicted model, not a curated record. The transcript is spliced from 2 exons.